RNAcentral lists this long non-coding RNA (387 nucleotides) under Mytilus galloprovincialis (Mediterranean mussel). The record is from RNAcentral. Lineage: Eukaryota; Metazoa; Mollusca; Bivalvia; Mytilida; Mytilidae.
GUUGAACUGGGGGCAAAGUCAUAUAUGGUACACAUCAAUAUUCGGUGUUUAAUAGGCGUUUAUUAGGACGCCUGCCGCUUUCCCGUUUACCUGUGAAGUCGUUGAGUGUCAUCUGUUUUUUGUUUGUUUAUGUUUAUGUGUAAUAAAGUAAAAUAAGUAAUAUUUUGAAAAAUUUCGGGACAUAGUGUUUAAAAAUUACGGGAGAAAAUUGGAAAAGAAAUUGAAAUUACUGCUUGCAAAAAGCCAAAACGAAAUGUUUGAUAAAGAAGGAACGAGGUCCUUCAAGUCCCUGGAAGAUGUUAAGAACUUUGAAGAUCUUUGAAGAAGUUUAUGUGCAGAAAUAUAAUUUUUUGUUGAUUGAGAAUAAUUUCCAAAAACAUGCUGGCG